GUAGUAGUGGCCGAGUGGUUAAGGCCACAAACUAGAAAUCUGUUCGGAUUUUCCCGCGCAGGUUCAAAUCCUGCCGACUACG
This 82-nucleotide transfer RNA is filed under the name Paramuricea clavata. It matches the Rfam family "tRNA". From Rfam's summary of the family: Transfer RNA (tRNA) molecules are approximately 80 nucleotides in length. Their secondary structure includes four short double-helical elements and three loops (D, anti-codon, and T loops). The record is from Rfam by way of RNAcentral. Lineage: Eukaryota; Metazoa; Cnidaria; Anthozoa; Malacalcyonacea; Plexauridae.